Molecule: ribosomal RNA, 425 nt
Filed under: Megaselia flammula
Lineage: Eukaryota; Metazoa; Arthropoda; Insecta; Diptera; Phoridae
Description: partial 16S ribosomal RNA
Source: RNAcentral
UUUUAGAAAUUAAUUUAAAGUCUAACCUGCCCACUGAAAAUUUUAAAUGGCCGCAGUAUCUUAACUGUGCAAAGGUAGCAUAAUCAUUAGUCUUUUAAUUGAAGGCUGGAAUGAAUGGUUGGAUGAAAUAUUAACUGUUUCAUAUAAAUUUUUAAUAUAAUUUUAUUUUUUAGUUAAAAAGCUAAAAUUUAUUUAAAAGACGAGAAGACCCUAUAAAUCUUUAUAUUUAAAUAAUUUUAAUUAUUUAGAUAAAUUAAAUUAUAAUUAUUUUAAGUAUUUUAUUGGGGUGAUAUUAAAAUUUAAAAAACUUUUAAUUUUUAAUUAACAAUAAUUAUUGAAUUAUUGAUCCAUAAAUUAUGAUUAAAAAUUUAAGUUACUUUAGGGAUAACAGCGUAAUUUUUUUAGAGAGUUCAUAUUGAUAAAAA